CCCAAAACCGACCCGGCCCACCUCUACUUCCAUUUCAUUACUGGCGCCUGGGGAGCAAAUAACAACGGAAGACUUCAUCAACCCCCUCGCACCCCUCACAGCUUUAUAAUUUGCAGAAAAGAAUAUUACAGAAAAAAAAAAUUGGUAAAGAUAAUGAAUGCUGCAGUGUCUUUUAUAGGAGGAACCAACGGCAACAAGAAAGGCUUGUCGGCAACUCUAGCAGCUAAUCCAGGAGACCUUAAGCUCCGAGCAUCGCUUUCAGACACAAAUUUUUCCGAUGGCUCCACAUUGAACUUUGAUGACUUGUUGCUGUCAGUUGAGAAGCCUGGUUCUUUCAUCAUCGACUUUGACAUCACCAAAAAGGAUGUUCAGUUUCAGUUCAUGAACACUUUUAAGGUGGAAGGAAAACAGAUAAAUUGGAGUUACACUCACAUGAGGAACGACCAUCGGACAGUAUUGGAUGGGACCUUGGUCUUUGAUACAGCCAACAAAUUAUCUGCAAGGCAUGAGCUCGGGUCUUUUAAUUGCAAAUUGAAGUACAGUUAUGUGCACAGAGGGUCGACAACGUUUGAGCCUUGCUAUGAUUUGGAAAAGAAAUCUUGGGACUUAGCAGUGUCAAGGAGAAUUCUCGGUGGUGAUUUAAUUAAAGCUAACUAUGAGACAUUGAGUCAAGUUUUGGGUGUGGAGUGGUCGUGUAGCUCAUUAGUCAAUGAAGAUGGAAGAGUUAAGGUUUUAGCAUCUUUCAAUCUGGCUGAGGGCUUCCACACGCCAAAACUAAGUGUUCAGAGUAUGUGGAACUUUCAGGCAUAGCCUUUCUAUAAUCGAUAAAUCAGGUUAGUUUAUAUGCAGUAUGCUUUAAGCUAAAACUGGGCAGCCCUAGAAGUGUUGUCUGCUGGUCUCCAGCUUCUCAUAUUUGAACUAUGGUGUGAAUAUCGAAUAUGGAUUUGCGCCCAACAUGGAUAUAUUCAGUCUUCUAAAGUUUUUUUUCCUUUUCUUUUUUCUACUAAUGUAUUUAGUGGGUUCUUGGAGGAUCAUAUUGUUACAUCCAUGUUUAGAGAAGAGUUGGAUAGUGGAAAGAGGUGUUGGUAGUAGAAUUUAUAGAAAAAUGAAGAGUCAGAGCAAUAUACCUAACCAAGGUGGUUUUUCAUCCCAUAUGUAACAUGUUCUCAAUCUAAUGCAAUUCUAAAAUUGAUGGAACACCCUGUUUGUUUUUAGAUGAAAUAUUGAAGUACAGAAAAUUCAUGCCUAUUAAAAAAUGCCUAAAGAAAAAGAAUGGAGGAAGCAAAAGAAAAGAAGAAAUAGUAACAAAGCCAAAGCAAAUUCGCGCACUUGAAUGGGGUGAUAGCCUUUGCAAGUUAAAAUGCAUGGGUGGGCAGUCUUAGAUUGGGGAAAGAUUUUGCCAAUCGAUUGUUGAAUUUGGUCUUUUGCUCGGGGAUCGUCAGCAACUUGUCACACUAUCACUAUCCACUGCUUGGUACUGCUAUGUUUUGGAUUAUCUUAUGGCAUGUAUAGAAUAGACUAGUGGCGGAAGAAUAUUUUGGUUAAUGUAUAUAAGCCAUGCGAAAAUGGCAUCUUUUGAAUGUUUA
RNA transcript from Gossypium arboreum, 1586 nucleotides. It is a transcript of the gene named outer envelope pore protein 24A, chloroplastic-like, with no coding region annotated. The transcript has 4 exons. The record is from RefSeq and is a predicted model, not a curated record. NCBI's taxonomy places the organism in Eukaryota, Viridiplantae, Streptophyta, Magnoliopsida, Malvales, Malvaceae.